UUUGAUACCAGGAUUUGGAAUCCAGGCCAGGGAAAAUGAGAAGAAGAAAAAACACAUAGGAAAUAUUUCUCAUUUAUAAGAAAAGGCAGUGGAAGAACUAUGGAAACACAUGAAUUCUUUAAAAGAUAACUGUGGGACACCUAUUAUGUAAAAGAGAACAGGAUUUCAGUUCAUAUAAUCAUGUAAAUCACUUUUCCUAAAACUACUUGCAGGGCAUGUCAAGUUCCAGACCAACUUAGUUUGAAGAGAUGCACUUUCUGCGAACUUUGGAUACACCCAAGAAGAAGUGUUUUGCAGGUAUCAAGCAACACUUUGAUGGAAAUUUUGUGUGCCAGUUAUAGCUCAGCAGACUUCAAACAAAGCCUCUUGGAUCCUGGCAGGUCCUUUAAAAAGGAUCACAUAGCAGAUUAUAUAUACAAUUCUCCAUCUGAGACUACAAAGAAUUCUAUCAUUUGGAUGAAUAUCAUGAUGAUGACAAUGAUGAUGGCUUCUUACAACUUUUCCCCCUGGAAAACUGGAUGACUCUUAAGUGAUAGCAAAAGAGAUACGGAUACUUUCCUGGCAUCUAAUGGACAUCUACAUUUUGCAGACCAGGUAUGAAAGACCAACUCCACAUAUUCUUAUUCUGAUCAAAUUACUGUUGCAGCUAAUAAACAUUAAACAUUAGAACAAAACUAAUGUUUUUGUUCCUGGAAGGACUUUUUUUUUUUUUGCUUGACACUUUAGAGAACCUGGUUCUCUUAAAGCUCAUAACACUUCUUUUACAGCAACAGAUUAAUUACAACAGGAAUUCCCCUUCCUAUUCAUCAUUUUUUAAAUAAAGGUCACACAGUGCUUAAUCACAGCACUGAUAAGGAACAGUUGUUUAUUAAUCAGUUAAUCCACUGGAAGUAACAAUGUGGAGGCUGCAUUUAAUUAAGGAAUAUUUCUGCCAUGGACAUGCUUUUUCCUUUAUUAUUAUGAAUGUACACAUGAAUUUACAUUUAAUCACUAGCUAGAUAGGCAAUAAUGCGGAGAGUUUUAUUCCAAUGUACUAAGCUAAAGAAGAUUGAGUUGUUUACCUGCUGUACUGAUUGUGGGGGUUGCAUUAUAUCCCCAAUGGCUGGGGUUUGCAACCUGUUUCAGAGCAAGGUAAGUGGUACACAGGAAUC
Crotalus tigris (Tiger rattlesnake) is the source of this 1151-nucleotide long non-coding RNA. RefSeq lists it as uncharacterized. The record is from RefSeq and is a predicted model, not a curated record. Lineage: Eukaryota; Metazoa; Chordata; Lepidosauria; Squamata; Viperidae. The transcript has 3 exons.